CUCCUAGGCGGUGGCCCUGGCGGAAGGCUUCCUCCUGAGCCAGGCAGAGGAGCAGAAGGAGCAGCUCCGGUGGCAGCGCUGCACUGUGGAGAUCAGAGAUCCUGAAGGAAAGAAGAACCCAUCAAAUCCCCCUCAGGAACUAUUUUUCAGGAGGAUCCCUUGGGAAGACCAAAGUCAGGACACCUCAGGAG
Non-coding RNA from Pseudonaja textilis, 191 nucleotides. The record is from RefSeq and is a predicted model, not a curated record. NCBI's taxonomy places the organism in Eukaryota, Metazoa, Chordata, Lepidosauria, Squamata, Elapidae.